GGGUUCUUGCUUUGGCAGUCCAUAUACUGAAAUUGGAAUGAUACAGAGAUUAGCAUGGCCCCUGUGUCAGGAUGACAUGCAAAUUCACGAAUCAUUCCAUAUUAAA
Molecule: small nuclear RNA, 106 nt
Organism: Jaculus jaculus (lesser Egyptian jerboa)
Lineage: Eukaryota; Metazoa; Chordata; Mammalia; Rodentia; Dipodidae
Source: RefSeq, a predicted model, not a curated record